Molecule: long non-coding RNA, 496 nt
Filed under: Marmota monax (woodchuck)
Lineage: Eukaryota; Metazoa; Chordata; Mammalia; Rodentia; Sciuridae
Source: RNAcentral
CAAGGGCCCCUUGAGGGCACCUGCCCCUGAGCUCCCACUCCCAAGGGCCAGGGUGGGCCAGCGGAGCUUGCCAGGCCACCUCUACUCAGCGGUGCCUCCCUUUGUCUGUCUUGGCCCUCAGUCUCUCUGGCUGCCAGUGGGGCCCUUGGAUGACAUCUGUGACAUUGUGCCCCUCUGCUUAUUUAUUCAACCAAUGGGUCCUGGCACCUCUGACAAGUCAACCUGGUGCAGGGACCAGGGACCCAGCUGACAGAAGGGGACGUGGUGCCCGCCCGCACUUGGCUCCACUUGGGGUGGGGAAGUGGUUGUGGCUCCUCCAGAAAAAUCACUGUGAUUUGUUGGAGCUGCAUGAUGAGGAACGGGCCAGACAAAUGGGGACGUUUGUCUGAAUGGGAAUCUGGGAGGGCUUCCUGAGAAGGUGACACAGGAGCCGAGGCCUCAGUGACAUCAAAGAAACCGCCACAUGGAGACCUGUGGGGAAGCACUCCAGGCAGAG